GUUCAAUGGGCUGCUCGAAGCCAGGACUGGGAUCCUCUGAGGCGUGGACUUCUUUCGAACUCGACCAGACCUUGAAGAUUGGCGGUUACACCUCUGGGAAGCAUUAUCUUGGCCUGAUGACUUCACACCGCUUGGUGGAAACCCACUUACUCA
Molecule: long non-coding RNA, 153 nt
Organism: Lemur catta (Ring-tailed lemur)
Lineage: Eukaryota; Metazoa; Chordata; Mammalia; Primates; Lemuridae
Exons: 3
Source: RefSeq, a predicted model, not a curated record